RNA transcript from Cornus florida, 2239 nucleotides. It is a transcript of the gene named SKP1-like protein 21, with no coding region annotated. NCBI's taxonomy places the organism in Eukaryota, Viridiplantae, Streptophyta, Magnoliopsida, Cornales, Cornaceae. The transcript has 11 exons. The record is from RefSeq and is a predicted model, not a curated record.
CCCCCACCCCACCCCCACCCCACCCCACAACAUACAUCCCCUCCAUCCCAAUUUUUCAGUCUCUCUCUCUCAUUUUAUCCAUUUUAGGUUCGCUGACAACCGUCAAAUAAUUGCAGUUCAAAGCCCUUUUCCUUGUUGACAUCUUGUACCCUACAGGGUCACGCUUCAUAUAAUUGUUACAGCUCUGAAUUAUUUUCCAAUGUCAGAUGCUGAUAGAGAAGUCAUAAAACCCGAGAUGAUGAAGUCGUAUAUAUGGCUUCAAACAGCUGAUGGUUCAAUUCAACAAUUAGAACAAGAAGUCGCCAUGUUUUGCCCUGUGAUAUGUCAUGAAAUACACACAGGCAUGGGGUCUUCGAAGAACUACCCUAUAUCUCUUCCACCACGAGUCAAUCCUGCAAUGUUGAGCUUGAUUCUUGAUUAUUGCAGAUUUCAUCAAGUAUCAGGUCGCUCUAACAAGGAACGGAAGUCUUUUGAUGAGAAGUUCAUUCGGAUGGACACAAAAAGGCUCUGUGAGUUGACAUCUGCUGCUGACAGCCUCCAACUGAAGCCCUUGGUUGACCUCACCAGCCGUGCACUAGCACGAAUGAUUGAAGGAAAAACUCCUGAGGAGAUACGCGAGACAUUUCAUUUGCCUGACGAUCUUACAGAGGAAGAGAAAUUGGAGCCUUUGAAAAACACAACCGAUGAUCCGCGGAUAAGGCUUUUGAAUAGGCUGUACGCAAGAAAGAGGAAAGAACUUAAAGAGAGAGAGAGAUUGAAGAAUGUCGAGGUUGAAGAGGAGCAUGUGGAUGAUCGUUCAAUCGAUGACCUCUUGUCUUUUAUUAAUGGAGGAAAUGGAGAUUCUAAAGGGGUCAGAACUUCUAAAAAUAAAAAGAAGAACCGGAGAAGAAAAGAUCAACAAGGGGAUACUUGUUCUAAUUGUGUUGCUUCUUUAUCUGAUAUCUCUUCUUCAAACAAUGCCAUUGAAAUCCAUAAGGAGUUAAAUGGUCCAGAUUCUGUUUACCAUAAUGUCCAUAUCCACAAUUUGAUUCUGCCCACUAUUGAUGAGAGAUUAAAGCUACAAGACAUGGAAGAUGAUAAUUUUGCACCUGAGGAUGAGUUUGAUGAUGGCGAUAUAGAUGACGAGAUAGAUCCAGCAAUGAAAGAAGAAAUUGAUAGGGAGGUGGAGGAUUUUGCCCGUAGACUGAAUUCAGACUGGCCUGAAAGAUUGCAAGAGAUUCUAUCUUUAGGACAAGGAAGGAGACCAGUACCAAUAUCUAUCAAUGGUAAUGGUUCCUUAAAAAGAUAUCCGAGCGGGAAAGACCACAAAUGAAAGUGAUUGGGACUUCCAUAGAAUGGCAAGUGUAGCCAGAACGAUUUUGACCAUAUGUCAGCUAGAAGAGAUUGCGAUGGGGACUAGAAGAGUUGAUGUAAAUCCACAUGUAAAAGUGGGUUGAUCUCUUGUACUCUACAGGAAAACAAAAUGAAAAGGAAAUUAUCUUGUUACAAGUCUGUGCUGCUCAACCGUCCAUUGUUAAUUUCCUGCUUUUGCGUUGCCUGAUUGUCUAGCUUUUGUACCUUUCACAGGACCGUUGUUCUACAUGGUCUUUCUUCAUUGAAGAAAGGCUUCAAAUUUAAUUGGUGGAACAGGAUUUUUUUUUGUUUUUUUGUUUUUUUUUUAAUUUUAAUGUAAAUUUUAGAGUUUAUGCAUUCAUGUUGUUUGGGGGUGACUUUGAGGUCUCGAAUGAGAAAUGGUCCUUGAAUUAUUUGACGAUAGCAUCAAUACCGAGGAAUGUAAAGGCAUUGAGAGCUCACGUCGUUGGUCGGUUUGGAUUGGAAGUGUUGUGACAUCUGUAUGCUGUGUAUUGGACAUGAGUGUUUUUUUUUUUUUUUAUCGAUUUUUCUCAGAAAGUCGAAUUGAAAAAUUGUCUGCUGACAUUUCAUUUGAUGGUUUUGUGUUGAAUAGGGCUCAAAGUGGGAAGAUAAUCAGCUGUGAGACUUGUCAUAAGCAGGAUUUGUAGCUACCAUGAACGAGGGGACAGCAAAACCCUACUAUAGUGCUACAUGACGUAUCAUGCGUUCAUCAAUCCAGUGAUAUGUUGUCAACAAUUUGAUUUUAGGGUUAGGUGUAAAAACCUGUUCGAAUUAGCGAAUGACCCCUGGUCCUUUAAAGAAGCUUUUAUGUAGGCCUGUCAACGAAUGAGAUUUGGAUCGGCUUCGAUUUGUUAAUCUAAUGAAUUAUUCGGCUUCGAUUUGUUAA